ACCAUGCGAAGACGGAGGCAGAGACUGAAGUGAUCUAGAGACAAGCCAAGGAAUGCCAAAGAUUGCUGGCAAUCACAAGAAACUGGAAAAGACAAGGAAGGUUCCUUCCUCCCCUCGAGUCUUCAGAGCAAAAGCAUGGCUUCGAUUUCAGACUUCCAGCCUCCAGAACUGUACAGGCCAAUAUCCUACACUCCUCCAGCAGAAGUGCUCUGAAAGAAGGAAGUUGCUAAAGCCUGCAUAAACGAAAGCUCAAUAUCUGAGGACAGAGAACAAAGGCACCGAAGUGUGUGCAGCCAGUGUCCGUAACAACACUCUCGCUCUGAAGGUCACUCUUGGAUGCCACAUCUUUUCUGGGUCUCCAGGGACCGUGAGGGGCUGAUGGCCUGGCUGGACAGCCAAGAACUCCCCUGUUCUGGAAGAAAUGUUUGGCCCACUUCCCUGUACAGACUCCCGGCCACACAGCACUUAGACACCAGCAGCUGCUCCAGUUUUCCUGAGGCUCUAAGGAGACCUGUCUACCCAAUUUAUGAGCUCUUCAAGCUGCAAAAGGCCUCCCCAGACAAGGCUCAAGAACAUAAAUAUCUCCAAAGAUAGGCAAUUCAAGCCCUCUCGGCCUCAGUUGCCAUCUUCCUGGAAACCUCUGCGCCAUGAGAGCCAAGUGGAGGAAGAAGCAAAAGCACAGGCUAAAGAGAAAAAUAAGAAAGAUGGGACACAGGUCCAAGUAAACCACUAGCUUAUGCACCCACGGAAGCCACAGGAGCAGAAAUAAGGAAAGCCAGAGGCCAGGGACACGGGACCUCAGAAGAAAAAAAGGAGCCUCAUGAAAGAAUGCUAAGGUUUCUUUGGGAAACCCAAUAGAUAAAACUCCAUACCGAAAGACUAAGGAUUCUUAACCCAGGGUCCAGGAACAGGCUCAGGAAUCCAACAGGCCCUGACACCUGUUUCCUAAAUGAAUCAGUGAACGUAUGAACUAGUUUACAAGACCUGGGUAUCGUCUCCAGCCAUCAAAAAAGAGACUUAAAUUGUUUCCAACCCCAGCAGCAGGCAGCUGGACUCACUGGGGAAUCAGACACUGGAAGAGGAAGCCUAAAUGCCUCUGAGGCCUCACAGCAAAAAGCCUGACCGAUGUUGAAAAAAGAGGUGGUUCUGCAUAGUGGUAUACACUCGAGAGCUCUUAAGCCACUCCCAGGUCCUCAUCCCAGCUCCCCUCAUUUACCUGCUCUGUCACCUCAGGCACAUCCUUUACCCUCUCUGAACCUACUUCCGUAUCUGGAGAGGAAGAGAAGUCUCCCCUCAUUGUUGCUGAACCCAAGGGAAACCGGCUGGGUGAAAACAAAUAAAUGCUGAUGAAGGAAUUCAAAUUUUUUCAUUUUAUUUUUAUUUUUUUUUUCCAAGAGAGCACCGCAGGAAACAAAAUUUGCAAAGA
This is a long non-coding RNA of Leopardus geoffroyi (Geoffroy's cat), 1426 nucleotides long. RefSeq lists it as uncharacterized. The record is from RefSeq and is a predicted model, not a curated record. Lineage: Eukaryota; Metazoa; Chordata; Mammalia; Carnivora; Felidae. The transcript is spliced from 6 exons.